Molecule: long non-coding RNA, 886 nt
Organism: Rosa chinensis
Lineage: Eukaryota; Viridiplantae; Streptophyta; Magnoliopsida; Rosales; Rosaceae
Exons: 2
Source: RefSeq, a predicted model, not a curated record
CAGAUUGAUCCAGAACAGUCGAGAGAGAGAGAGGUGGGAGCUCUCUGACCCAGAAACGCGUGGCCGACCCGAGGGAGAAACCCGACCAGAACGCCGCCCUCCGGCCACCUCACGACUGCGAACUGGCGCCGUUCUCUUCGUAUCGCCGUCGCCGACACGCCUCUGGAGGUCGAUCGUCCAUGCAUGGAUGAUGGAUCGUGAAGGGAGAUUCGAAGCUCGAAAGGUUUGAAGAUUUCCGGCAACAUCUUCUGCAAAUUCCGGCGACCUUUUUACUUGCAUGUGGUAUGAAAGUCCAUCCUCUCGUCAUGAUCUACACUCUAGUGUAAUUGGUUUUUGAAAUCGAUUAAGUUUUGAUGAUUUGGUUUCUGGGUUGGUUUUGAGCUCGACGCUGUCACCGACGCCGGCGACUUUUCCGGCGAUCUUCUGGGCUGUUCGAGAUUUUGGAGUCUUUGAUUCGUCUUUGAUGGAAACUCUGAACCUUGGGCUCAAAAGGGUGGUCGUUCGAGGUUAAUCCUCAGCGUUGGGCCGAGUUGACCAACUCAGAAUCGAUUAAGCUGGUUCCGGCUUGCUGUGUUCGUCGUCAGGGAGCAGACCUGCAAGUUCGGGGUUCUGUUCUUGAUCUCGUUUAAUCACAAGGUCAGUUGGAAGUUGUUUGAGAAUUCUGGGGAUUCAGUUGUGUAGUUAGCUGCUGAAAUUGAUUUUCCCUUGUUUAUAUGCUUACUGCGAAUUCGUGUUUUUGAGAAUGGUGAAUUGAAUCGAUGUGAUUUCAUUCUUGGUUGAUAGUUACUGACAGUUGAGAACUAUGUUGCGAUUAAGUUGGUUUUUUAUAAGCCCGACUUUUUAUCAAUGUUGCUACGGCAAUUUGUUGAGUAAAAUUAUUGGUGAA